RNAcentral lists this ribosomal RNA (119 nucleotides) under Danio rerio (zebrafish). Lineage: Eukaryota; Metazoa; Chordata; Actinopteri; Cypriniformes; Danionidae. The record is from RNAcentral.
UACCACAGCCAUAUCACCCUGCAGCCCAAGACUGGGUUACUCACUGAAGCUAAGCAGGGCUGAGCCUGGUCAGUAUCUGGAUGGGAGACCACAUGGAGAAAACUAGGUUGCUGUAGGAA